This 274-nucleotide ribosomal RNA is filed under the name uncultured bacterium. RNAcentral's name for it is "partial 16S ribosomal RNA". It matches the Rfam family "Bacterial small subunit ribosomal RNA", at positions 523 to 796 of the family's 1533-position model. The record is from RNAcentral.
AUACGGAGGGUGCAAGCGUUAAUCGGAAUUACUGGGCGUAAAGCGUACGUAGGCGGUCCGUUAAGUUAGAUGUGAAAGCCACGGGCUUAACCUGGGAACUGCAUUUAAAACUGGCGAACUAGAGUUGAGUAGAGGGGAGUGGAAUUUCAGGUGUAGCGGUGAAAUGCGUAGAGAUCUGAAGGAACACCAGUGGCGAAGGCGACUCCCUUAACUCGAACUGACGCUGAGGUACGAAAGCGUGGGUAGCAAACGGGAUUAGAACCCCUAGUAGUCC